UACGAAGGGGGCUAGCGUUGCUCGGAAUCACUGGGCGUAAAGGGUGCGUAGGCGGGUCUUUAAGUCAGGGGUGAAAUCCUGGAGCUCAACUCCAGAACUGCCCUUUGAUACUGAAGAUCUUGAGUUCGGGAGAGGUGAGUGGAACUGCGAGUGUAGAGGUGAAAUUCGUAGAUAUUCGCAAGAACACCAGUGGCGAAGGCGGCUCACUGGCCCGAUACUGACGCUGAGGCACGAAAGCGUGGGGAGCAAACAGGG
Molecule: ribosomal RNA, 255 nt
Filed under: uncultured bacterium
Lineage: Bacteria
Description: partial 16S ribosomal RNA
Rfam family: Bacterial small subunit ribosomal RNA
Source: RNAcentral